RNAcentral lists this ribosomal RNA (410 nucleotides) under Bacillota bacterium. RNAcentral describes it as "Firmicutes bacterium partial 16S ribosomal RNA". It matches the Rfam family "Bacterial small subunit ribosomal RNA", at positions 355 to 776 of the family's 1533-position model. RNAcentral also lists the same sequence under 3 other names. Lineage: Bacteria; Bacillati; Bacillota. The record is from RNAcentral.
UGGGGAAUCUUGCGCAAUGGGGGCAACCCUGACGCAGCGACGCCGCGUGCGGGACGAAGGCCUUCGGGUCGUAAACCGCUUUCAGCAGGGACGAGGCCGCGAGGUGACGGUACCUGCAGAAGAAGCCCCGGCUAACUACGUGCCAGCAGCCGCGGUAAUACGUAGGGGGCGAGCGUUAUCCGGAUUCAUUGGGCGUAAAGCGCUCGUAGGCUGCCCGCUAGGUCCGGGGUCAAAUCCGGGGGCUCAACCCCCGCACGCCCCGGAUACCGGCGGGCUUGAGUCGGGUAGGGGAAGGCGGAAUUCCAGGUGUAGCGGUGGAAUGCGCAGAUAUCUGGAAGAACACCGGUGGCGAAGGCGGCCUUCUGGGCCUCGACUGACGCUGAGGAGCGAAAGCUGGGGGAGCGAACAGG